UUCGAUUUUUGGUUUUGCCCGCGGCAGCGCCGCUGGGCUUUACCCGCAGUUUCUAGUUCAUCCGCAUUUCUUUUGCUUCAAUUUGGCCAUGGGGUGUUCGAAAUCAGAUUCUGAGCAGAUAAGAGAAUUUUUACCUUUUUUUGACAGUCGCAGGUGGCUCCGAAGCAACGGCGGGCGGCAGUCGACUCCCUUCUCUGGCGACUGGUUCUUCUUCUUCGGUGAAGGAUUGGCGGCUAGGGUUUGAGUUCAGUGUGAUGUGAGAUAUAUAUAUCUGUCUUCCUUAAAUUUAAGUCAUUCAUCGCGUUUGAUCUCGACCGUCCAAUUGCGUUUAAAGAAGAAAUGAAUCU
RNAcentral lists this long non-coding RNA (347 nucleotides) under Carica papaya (papaya). Its description in RNAcentral is "long non-coding RNA (CPAP_LNC014028)". Lineage: Eukaryota; Viridiplantae; Streptophyta; Magnoliopsida; Brassicales; Caricaceae. The record is from RNAcentral.